RNAcentral lists this microRNA precursor (102 nucleotides) under Marmota monax (woodchuck). Lineage: Eukaryota; Metazoa; Chordata; Mammalia; Rodentia; Sciuridae. The record is from RNAcentral.
AGUGGAAUAACAGGGUCAAAUGGUGAUUCCAUUCCAAGUUUUCUGAGGAAUCACCAGACUGCUUCCAGAGUGGUUGCACCAAUUUGCUGUCCUACCAGCAAU